This 503-nucleotide ribosomal RNA is filed under the name uncultured Gammaproteobacteria bacterium. RNAcentral's name for it is "bacterial SSU rRNA". It matches the Rfam family "Bacterial small subunit ribosomal RNA", at positions 1 to 524 of the family's 1533-position model. The record is from RNAcentral. Lineage: Bacteria; Pseudomonadati; Pseudomonadota; Gammaproteobacteria.
UAGAGUUUGAUUCUGGCUCAGAUUGAACGCUGGCGGCAGGCCUAACACAUGCAAGUCGAACGGUAACAGGAGACAGCUUGCUGUUUCGCUGACGAGUGGCGGACGGGUAAGUAAUGUCUGGGAAACUGCCUGAUGGAGGGGGAUAACUACUGGAAACGGUAGCUAAUACCGCAUAACGUCGCAAGACCAAAGAGGGGGACCUUCGGGCCUCUUGCCAUCGGAUGUGCCCAGAUGGGAUUAGCUAGUAGGUGGGGUAACGGCUCACCUAGGCGACGAUCCCUAGCUGGUCUGAGAGGAUGACCAGCCACACUGGAACUGAGACACAGCCCAGACUCCUACGGGAGGCAGCAGUGGGGAAUCUUGGACAAUGGGCGCAAGCCUGAUCCAGCCAUGCCGCGUGAAUGAUGAAGGCCUUAGGGUUGUAAAAUUCUUUCAUCGGGGACGAUAAUGACGGUACCCGAAGAAGAAGCUCCGGCUAACUUCGUGCCAGCAGCCGCGGUAAU